GUUACAAGUGUCACACAAUACGCCGGUAUUAAGUCGGAGGAAGGUGCGGAUGACGUCAAGUCAGCAUGACCUUUAUAUCCAGGGCUACACACACGCUACAAUGGUCGGCACAAUAGGUUGCCAAGUCGUGAGACGGAGCCAAUCCUCCAAAGCCGGCCUCAGUUCAGAUUGCAGGCUGCAACUCGCCUGCAUGAAGUUGGAGUUGCUAGUAAACGCAGGUCAGCUAUACUGCGUUGAAUACGUUCCCGGGGAUU
RNAcentral lists this ribosomal RNA (254 nucleotides) under uncultured Anaerolineaceae bacterium. RNAcentral's name for it is "partial 16S ribosomal RNA". It matches the Rfam family "Bacterial small subunit ribosomal RNA", at positions 1125 to 1378 of the family's 1533-position model. Lineage: Bacteria; Bacillati; Chloroflexota; Anaerolineae; Anaerolineales; Anaerolineaceae. The record is from RNAcentral.